AGUGAUAAACAAUCCUCAAUUUGUUCGAUGUUCGGAAGUUUUUUCAAUAUUUCUUGUUUUUAAAAGUUCAAAAAAUCGUAAAAAGUGACAAAAUCGUAAGUUGAGCCACGAUAGUGUACCGCAUUUUCACUGCAGCAAUAUGUCGAAGUGCCCCGUUUCGCGAUGCCGGAGCAGAAAAGUUUUGAAUGUUUUGAAGAAAGUCGGAUAACUUUCCACCGUUUUCCGACCAACAAAUUGUUUAGACGGAAUUGGUUAAACUUUUUCGGAUACAGAAGCUCGUUCGAUACGCGAAACAUAUUUAUUUGUUCGCUUCAUUUUUCGCCGGAUUCUUUUGGGGAUACUGUUUUAACCUAUAAUCAGCAAAGAAGACGUCUUCGUACUGGAGCUAUUCUAUGCAUACGCUUCUUGGAUCUUCCAAAACGUUCCGUUCCAAUGGUUUCACACGAAAUUUCAAAUUUGUACAUUCACUUUUUGCGAAAGUGCAAAAUAUUAUAUAUAUUUGCAAUCACUUCGGAAGAUGACCCGGGAUGGAGGAAAUGUUUUUCUCGUUUUCCAGAAACGUCAAUUUGGUCUCUUAUGUGGCCUCAUUACGGCUGAACACUCCAAACCGAAACCAAUGAAAGCGUCGCGAUGAUUCUUGAUGGAAAUCAGCAAUGUGGGAGUUAAUCUUGCAUCAUAUUAUCAAUUUUUAGUAUUUUAAGACAGUUCUUUUGUUACAAUUUGAAUAAAAAUCAAAGGGCCUGAUCACGAACGUCACUUCACGGUGAAAAUGAAAUGAAUUGUGUGCAGUUUGUAUGCAUUUCAUUCAGUUUUCACCGUGAAGUAACGUUCUUAAUCAGGUCCAAA
This is a long non-coding RNA of Toxorhynchites rutilus septentrionalis, 846 nucleotides long. RefSeq lists it as uncharacterized. The record is from RefSeq and is a predicted model, not a curated record. NCBI's taxonomy places the organism in Eukaryota, Metazoa, Arthropoda, Insecta, Diptera, Culicidae. The transcript is spliced from 3 exons.